UUAAUCUGACAUGUUCAUCAUUCCAUCAUAAACUACUAAGUCAUACAUCAUAACUUAGAAUCAAAAUAAUAUUAAGCAUUGCCACUUCAUACUGGCAUACCAAACAAGUGUAUAUAUACUAUCUACACAUGUAUCUUAAUAAUUCACAUUAGGUUCGUCUAUACACAACAAAAGGAGACUCGAUGUCCAGCGAAGAGACUCGGACGAAAGUACAGCUACUGAAUGCUGAGACACCUACCAAAAGAUGGAUACAAGUCCACGAGGACACCUCGUCCUAGUUACCGGCUGUCUCUUAAUCUGAAAACAUGAAGUUUAAAGCGGUGAGCAUAAACUUAGUGAGUGAACAAGAAGGGAACAAGCAUACCAUAAGGAAUGUUUAUCGAAAUCAUGAUGUACUCAUUUCCUCAAAACAGUGCAAUUUGUUCUAGUUCUUAGUAGAACCCCUCAUGUAAAACCCUCAUGAGUAAAUAACGUAAAAGAUCCAUACUCAACUAUGGCACCAAAGAAUCUAAAAAUAUAGCAAAACCCAUAAGUUAGCCAAAAUGGAUAGAAAGUUUCUCGCUGUAGUGAGAACAAGGUCUGGUGAAGGCCCUUAAACCCAAGAGUUUCUCGCUGCAGCGAGAGUCAGAACAUCAAGGAAAAAGUCUCAUUUUCCUUUAAAACAAGCCAUCGUGCUAAAAUAACAAUAGCAACAUGUAACACAUGUAAACUCCCAAAUUUCAACAAAUCAAAUGCUCACAUAUUUGCAUUUACAACCAUAUACCAUAUAUGUAUAUAUAUAUAUAUAUAUCAAUCAUCAUGUACACCCUCCCAUCAUCAUCAUCUCAUAUGCAACGAUUUAUGCGUACUCCCACUCACAUAUAGCCAGGUCAGCAACGGCUUAUGUGCACUCCCACUCACACAUAGCUGGGUCAGCAAUGGCUUAUGUGCACUCCUACUCGCACAUAGCCGGGUCAGCAACGGCUUAUGUGCACUCCUACUCGCACAUAGCCGGGUCCACAUCAACAUGCAAAGAAGCAUCCAAUGCAUAUCAUGCAUUUUAUCAUAUUGUGAUCACCAAUAAACCAUUGUAUAGUACAUUUUCACAAUAUAAAAUCAUUUUACUAAAAGCUUGUUCCCAAGGUACAUUUUCUAAGACAAGUUGGAUAGAAUCUUUCAUAUUCCCCAAAACAAGUUUGAAAUGCAAGUCCACUCACCGGUAUUCAUUGAGCCUUUAGCCGACUCUUAAUUCCCCUAAUGAUCCACUUGGGGUGAUGGGGCUUUGUUAGCACCUACCAUCAAAUUAACAUUUCCAUAAUGUCAAUUUACAUACUAUAAACCCUAAAAGCUAUCUUUAAGCUAGCUUUCAAUUGCCAUUUAAAUGGCCAUCCAUUUUCACUUUCCUAUCACUCCAAAGUGAAUUAACAAUCUCAAUAACAAAAUAUUCACAAAUCAAAUCUCUAGUCAUUCUCAACACUUAAAACCUAAUACUAGUUUACUACUCACCUUGAUAGCUUUGUAACUUUGAACUUCUUUCCAAAAGCUCUCAAGCUAUUAAUAAAGCUUCCUCUUUCUUUCUCUAAAACACCUAACUAGUGAGAGAUUAUGGAAACAAGAUUUUCAUAGCCGGGUCAACAACGGCUUAUGUGCACUCCUACUCGCACAUAGUCAGGUCAGUAACGGCUUAUGUGCACUCCUACUCGCACAUAGCCGGGUCCACAUCAACAUGCAAAGAAGCAUCCAAUGCAUAUCACGCAUUUUAUCAUAUUGUGAUAACACAUAAACCAUUGUAUAGCACAUUUUCACAAUAUAAAAUCAUUUUACUAAAAGCUUGUUCCUAAGGUAUGUUUUCUAAGACAAGUUGGAUAGAAUCUUUCAUAUUCCCCAAAACAAGUUUGAAAUGCAAGUCCACUCACCGGUAUUCGUUGAGCCUUUAACCGACUCUUAAUUCCCCUAAUGAUCCAAUUGGGGUGAUGGGGCUUUGUUAGCACCUACCACCAAAUUAACAUUUCCAUAAUGUCAAUUUACAUACUAUAAACCCUAAAAGCUAUCUUUUAGCUAGCUUUCAAUUGCCAUUUAAAUGGCCAUCCAUUUUCACUUUCCUAUCACUCCAAAGUGAAUUAAUAAUCUCAACUACAAAAUAUUCACAAAUCAAAUCUCUAGUCAUUCUCAACACUUAAAACCCAAUACUAGUUUACUACUCACCUUGAUAGCUUUGUAACUUUGAACUUCUUUCCAAAAGCUCUCAAGCUAUUAAUAAAGCUUCCUCUUUCUCUCUCUAAAACACCUAACUAGUGAGAGAUUAUGGAAACAAGAUUUUCAUCAUUUUUAAGGGUUUUAAAGUGAGAGAGUGGAAGAAUACAAGGGUUCUAGUCAAAAGGGCACUAGGGUGUGAAAAUUAGAGCUAGAGAGAGAAAGUUAUGAAAGUUUCACAUCAAGCUUCCAUGGAGAAAUUGAAGAAACGUGAGAGGGAAGAGAAUAAGAAGAAGAAGUUGCUGGAAAUCCCAAGAAAUUGCUAGAAGG
Molecule: long non-coding RNA, 2502 nt
Filed under: Theobroma cacao (cacao)
Lineage: Eukaryota; Viridiplantae; Streptophyta; Magnoliopsida; Malvales; Malvaceae
Description: long non-coding RNA (TCAC_LNC001804)
Source: RNAcentral